CCAGCAGYCGCGGUUAAACCAAGACGGUCAAAUUAUAUAUUUACGGUGAAAAAACAGUUAAAUCGAAAAAGUCUACUAAAUUCUAAUAAAAAAGUGAAAUUUGGUCAUUAGCGAGAAACUUAACUUAGGCUGAGACAUUGAAGCUGUGAAAACCUAGAGGGAAACUGGGAUUAGAUACCCCACUAUUCUUGGAUAUAAAAUAACUUUUGUUUACCGAAGUACUAUGAAUUAAAUAUUUAAAACUUAAAGGGCUUGGCGGUAUUUUAGACCUCUCAGGGGAACCUGUCUCAUAACCGAUAAUCCACGCUAGACCCAACCCCUUUUUGCAUUCAACUUGUAUACCGUCGUCGUCAGGUAACUUUUUAGAAUAAAGAAGUUAGCAAGUAAACUGAUUCCUAAGUUUAUACGUCAGAUCGAGGUGCAGUUAAUAAAGGGGAGAGGAUGGGUUACAAUUAUACAAUUAUAAUACGAGAUAAUUAUUUGAAACAGAAUUGAAAGGAGGACUUGAAAGUAAGAUAAAGUAUAUAAACGUUCUGAAUAAGGCUCUGAAAUGUGCACACAUCGCCCGCC
Molecule: ribosomal RNA, 570 nt
Filed under: Morula uva
Lineage: Eukaryota; Metazoa; Mollusca; Gastropoda; Neogastropoda; Muricidae
Description: partial 12S ribosomal RNA
Source: RNAcentral